ACGAAAGUUAGAGGUUCGAAGGCGAUCAGAUACCGCCCUAGUUCUAACCAUAAACGAUGCCAGCCAGCGAUCCGGCUGUGUUCCUCAAAUGACACGCCGGGCAGCUUCCGGGAAACCAAAGCUUUUGGGUUCCGGGGGAAGUAUGGUUGCAAAGCUGAAACUUAAAGGAAUUGACGGAAGGGCACCACCAGGAUUGGAGCUUGCGGUUUAAUUUGACUCAACACGGGACAACCUACCCGGCCCGGACACAGGAAGGAUUGACAGAUUAAGAGCUCUUUCUUGAUUCUGUGGGUGGUGGUGCAUGGCCGUUCUUAGUUGGUGGACUGAUUUGUCUGGUUAAUUCCGUUAACGAACGAGACUCUAGCCUACUAAAUAGACGUUCCGAUUAUUUAUUUUUCGGACGUUCUUCUUAGAGGGACAAUCGGCGCUUAGCCCGAUGAGACAGAGCAAUAACAGGUCUGUGAUGCCCUUUGAUGUCCGGGGCCACACGCGUGCUACAUUGAAGGAAUCAGCGUGUGCUUUCCCUGUCCGACAGGACUGGGUAACCCGUUGAACCUCCUUCGUGCUGGGGAUAGGGGCUUGUAAUUGUUCCCCUUGAACGAGGAAUUCCUAGUAAGCACGAAUCAUCAGUUCGUGUUGACUAAGUCCCUGCCCUUUGUCCACACCGCCCGUCGCUACUACCGAUUGAAUGAUUUAG
Molecule: ribosomal RNA, 697 nt
Filed under: Coras lamellosus
Lineage: Eukaryota; Metazoa; Arthropoda; Arachnida; Araneae; Agelenidae
Also listed under: 1 other name
Description: SSU rRNA
Rfam family: Eukaryotic small subunit ribosomal RNA
Source: RNAcentral